This 639-nucleotide small RNA is filed under the name Pongo abelii (Sumatran orangutan). RNAcentral describes it as "retained intron". Lineage: Eukaryota; Metazoa; Chordata; Mammalia; Primates; Hominidae. The record is from RNAcentral.
CUUCCGCUACGGCUCCCUGAAGGGGCCAUCCCGGGCCUUUCGCGCUUCUGCCCUGGCUCUCUGCGGGCCGCUCCGCCGGUGCUGUCCCUGGGCGCCUCCGUGCUCUCAGCCAACCGCCUCGGAGAGCGCCUACUCGAGCGCCCCGGGAGCCAGAGGGCGGCGGUCCUCGCCGGGACCCUCCUGUGGGCCCAGGGGGACAAAAGUGGCUCUCAAUCCAGCACAUGCACAUUGAAGCAAGUUAAAGGAUUUAAUAUGAAGCACAGAAGCAGAUAGUGCCAAAUAGCAAGCAGUAGUUGGUACACGUUUUCAGCCCUGUCUUUAAAUUUUUCUCCCACAGGGUGAGCGGGGCAGCAUUUCCUUCUCCCACUGCUGCUGAGAUGGCAGAAAUUAGUCGAAUUCAGUACGAAAUGGAAUAUACUGAAGGCAUUAGUCAGCGAAUGAGGGUCCCAGAAAAGUUAAAAGUAGCACCGCCAAACGCUGACCUGGAACAAGGAUUCCAAGAAGGAGUUCCAAAUGCUAGCGUGAUAAUGCAAGUUCCGGAGAGGAUUGUUGUAGCAGGAAAUAAUGAAGAUGUUUCAUUUUCAAGACCAGCGGAUCUUGACCUUAUUCAGUCAACUCCCUUUAAAUCCCUGGCACUGA